CCCAGGAUCCUCCUGCAAACUGCAGAGCUCUUCUCUCCCCGCCUCUCAGCUGAUUGGCUGGUGGGCGGGGCUUCCAGGGAGGCCUCUCCCUGAAGCCUGAACUGGGCAGGCCUCAAGCAAGCAAGGAAGCAGGCAGAGCUCCCUGCAGCAGACCAGACCAUCCAGCACAGCUUUUGCAAGUCAGUUCCAAGAUGGAAUAAACCCCAGGGCAGGGUCCACUUUAAGUGACCUGCUCCCAUCUCUCCUAGAGUUGUUCCUAUCACAUCGAACAGCUGCUGUGACAACUAUAUAAGGAGGCAACUUCCAAUGUGGUUCCUGAAAUCCUUUGAAUACACUGGUGAACAUUGUCCCAAGCGAGGUGUUAUGCCCCUGGUCUUUUUCAGAUUAUAGGUCCUCCCUAGGAAGGCCUGUGGGAUUCUGGAAUCGGUGCAAGGCCAUACAUAUUUCAAAGCACCGACAUGUCGGAGGUUUCACAGGGGAGUCCGAUGAGGCUGAGGAGGGAAGAACCGCCUGUUUCAACACAGAUUUACUACGAAGAAUGAUAAGCGGUUCUGUGCUGAUCCCAGGCUUAAAAGGGUCAAGGGGAGAAUCCAUUCCUUCUUAGAAAACUAACCGUGUCCUGUUUCCGCCUCCUGUACCCCCAGAAGCGAAGAGAAAUGUUCAACCUGGAGCUACCAGCUUGUGGAGGAAAGGAGGAAGUUAUACAAGGUUGAAAGCUAGGCUAUCCAUCUUCAAAGGGGACGCCCGCCUGAUUUUUUAUUUUUUAUUAUUUUGAAUAACCACAUGUACAAUUUGCUUGUUCAUUUAUUCUUUGCAUCAUAAAAUAAAUAAAACAGAAGCACUU
Long non-coding RNA from Hemicordylus capensis (graceful crag lizard), 844 nucleotides. RefSeq lists it as uncharacterized. The record is from RefSeq and is a predicted model, not a curated record. The transcript is spliced from 4 exons. NCBI's taxonomy places the organism in Eukaryota, Metazoa, Chordata, Lepidosauria, Squamata, Cordylidae.